This 1362-nucleotide ribosomal RNA is filed under the name uncultured prokaryote. RNAcentral describes it as "partial 16S ribosomal RNA". It matches the Rfam family "Bacterial small subunit ribosomal RNA", at positions 43 to 1393 of the family's 1533-position model. The record is from RNAcentral.
CAUGCUUAACACAUGCAAGUCGAACGGCAGCACGGUCUAGCUUGCUAGAUGGGUGGCGAGUGGCGAACGGGUGAGUAACGCGUAGGAAUAUGCCUUAAAGCGGGGGACAACUUGGGGAAACCCAAGCUAAUACCGCAUAAGCUCUUAGGAGUAAAGCUGGGGACCUUCGGGCCUGGCGCUUUAAGAUUAGCCUGCGUCCGAUUAGCUAGUUGGUAGGGUAAAGGCCUACCAAGGCGACGAUCGGUAGCUGGUCUGAGAGGAUGACCAGCCACACUGGAACUGAGACACGGUCCAGACUCCUACGGGAGGCAGCAGUGGGGAAUAUUGGACAAUGGGGGCAACCCUGAUCCAGCAAUGCCGCGUGUGUGAAGAAGGCCUGAGGGUUGUAAAGCACUUUAGUUGGGGAGGAGGAUUGAUUGGUUAAGAGCUGAUUAAUUGGACGUUCCCCAAAGAAUAAGCACCGGCUAACUCCGUGCCAGCAGCCGCGGUAAUACGGAGGGUGCAAGCGUUAAUCGGAAUUACUGGGCGUAAAGCGCGCGUAGGUGGUUAGAUAAGUUGGAUGUGAAAGCCCCGGGCUUAACCUGGGAACUGCAUUCAAAACUGUCUAGCUAGAGUCUUGGAGAGGGGAGUGGAAUUUCUGGUGUAGCGGGGAAAUGCGUAGAUAUCGGAAGGAACACCAGUGGCGAAGGCGACUACCUGGCCAAAUACUGACACUGAGGCACGAAAGCGUGGUUAGCGAACAGGAUUAGAUACCCUGGUAGUCCACGCUGUAAACGAUGUCAACACUAGCCGUUGGGAGGAUUGCCUCUUGGUGGCGCAGCUAACGCGGUAAGUUGACCGCCUGGGGAGUACGGCCGCAAGGUUAAAACUCAAAUGAAUUGACGGGGGCCCGCACAAGCGGUGGAGCAUGUGGUUUAAUUCGAUGCAACGCGAAAAACCUUACCUACUCUUGACAUCCCGUGAACUUUCCAGAGAUGGAUUGGGGCCUUCGGGAACUCGGUGACAGGUGCUGCAUGGCUGUCGUCAGCUCGUGUCGUGAGAUGUUGGGUUAAGUCCCGUAACGAGCGCAACCCUUAUUGCUAGUUGCCAGCGCGUAAAGGCGGGGACUCUAGUGAGACUGCCGGUGACAAACCGGAGGAAGGCGGGGACGACGUCAAGUCAUCAUGGCCCUUACGGGUAGGGCUACACACGUGCUACAAUGGCCGGUACAGAGGGCAGCGAAGGGGUGACCUGGAGCGAAUCCUUUAAAGCCGGUCGUAGUCCGGAUUGAAGUCUGCAACUCGACUUCAUGAAGUCGGAAUCGCUAGUAAUCGCGAAUCAGCAUGUCGCGGUGAAUACGUUCCCGGGCCUUGUACACACCGC